GGGGCUGACCGGUUUUGACAGCAAGCCGAUAGAUCAUGUAAGCAUGUCGAGCUAUUGGGUUGAUGCUCGCAAAUACAACAUCCAAUUUUUUUAACUGGCGAGCACAACUACGCUCUUGCCGCUUAAUUCUCGAUAGAGAGCUAAGCUUAUUCUACACUAGGUGCAGAAGCAAGACAUCCCUCAAGAUCCCCGUUCUACGGAGCUUGAUCAAGGGGUGUAGUAAGGUAGAACUAGGGUGAAGCAUGUCAUGGGCUGAUUCUGAAAACAUACAUGGCUAAGUGCUGGUUGGGUUGUCACUCAUCAGGCCUGCAUCGAAAACCAAUGAAUGACUAAGCAUGUAGAAGGCACGAUAUGUCCUUGCCUGGACGUGGGUUCGAUUCCCACCAGCUCCACCA
This 395-nucleotide transfer-messenger RNA is filed under the name Schleiferiaceae. RNAcentral's name for it is "UBA3442 sp002378565 Standard tmRNA". It matches the Rfam family "transfer-messenger RNA". Rfam says of the family: Bacterial tmRNA, also known as 10Sa RNA or SsrA, is named for its dual tRNA and mRNA-like properties. Its role is to liberate the mRNA from a stalled ribosome. RNAcentral also lists the same sequence under 3 other names. Lineage: Bacteria; Pseudomonadati; Bacteroidota; Flavobacteriia; Flavobacteriales. The record is from RNAcentral.